This is a long non-coding RNA of Malaclemys terrapin pileata, 1515 nucleotides long. RefSeq lists it as uncharacterized. The transcript has 4 exons. The record is from RefSeq and is a predicted model, not a curated record. Lineage: Eukaryota; Metazoa; Chordata; Testudines; Emydidae.
AAGAUCCCGUAUGGGUUUGUCUGAACGAUUCUUGAUGCUGGAGACCAAAUAUCCUAGACUGUGAACAGAAAACAAAGACCGUUCAUCAAACAGUAAGUCUUCUAUGGUCUGUUGCAUGUCUGGAGCAAUGCCAGAGUUCUGCAGCCAAGAAGGCCUCCUCAUUGUUUUUGCCAAGGCCAUAAUCCUAAAUGAGGUGUCAACCACAUGGAGCGCUGACUGCACUGAUGUCUAUGCCACUAGACAGCCCUCUGCCAGGAAAGCCUUGAACUCUUCCCUGACAUCCCCAGAUUCUGUUCUGGAUGUCCUGGCUUAUUCCACCAUCCUGGCUGAUGGUGCUGCCCAAGUAUGUGAACAUUUCUACAUUGGUAGCAAACAGGUCUAUAAGGGGAGUCCCCACCAUUGGAAGAUGCCCCUUGUGACGUCCGAUUGGAGAGACCACUUGUGAUGAGAGGAGAAAGACUUGCUGAGUUGAUUCAUCAGCUGGUUCUGCAUUCCCAGAAGGUAGAACGCUUGUAGACUGUACAAUGCAAAGCUCCCACAGCUGGAUUGCUUCCUGAUAUAGAGGGAAGAGAGUGCUCCACCCUGUCUGUUGAUGUAGAACAUGGCUGUUGUGUUGUCUGUCAGAACCAAAAUGAUCUUGUUUGUAAUGUGAAGUAGGAAUGCCUGACAGGCUAGGCUAAGUGCCCUGAGCUCCCUGACAUUAAUAUGGAGGGAAAGCUCUUCUUGAGACUAGAGGCCCUGAGUCCAGAGGGACCCUAAGUGGGCUCCCCAGCCUAGGACUGAUGUGUUGGAUACUAGUGACAUUGAUGGUUAAGGCUGCGAGAAGAGAACCCCUGCAUAUACUAUGCAGGGAUUCAGCCACCACAUAAGUGAAUCAAGGACCUGAGUGGGAACAGUGAGCACCAAGUUCAGGCGAAGAUGCAAGGGAGAGUAUUCCGUGGUCAACCAAGCUUGCAGAGGUUGGAGACAUAGCCUCGCAUAUUGCCCUAUGUAUCUGCAUGAAGCUUUCUGGCCCAGAAGGCUCAGACACUUUUGUGCCGUUGUGAUUGGGUGAGCCUGGAGGGACCUUAUCUGGGCAGUAAUUGACCAAAAACGAUCUUCCAAAAAGUAGAGCCCUCGUCUGCAAGGAGUCAAGAACUGCACCAAUGAACUCUAUCCUUUGGACAGGGACAAGGGUAGCUUUCUGUUCGAUUAUCAGUAGACAGGUCAAUUGGAUGAGAUGGAUGUCGGAUUCCACCUGAGCUCUCAACCAACUUCUGACUAGCUAGUCAUCAAGGUAUGGGAAUAUAUGAACUCCCUUUUUUCUGAGGAAAGCCGCCACCACCACCAUGCAUUUGGUGAAGAUCUGUGGGGUGGCUGACUGGCUGAACAGUAGAAUCACAAUCCAGAGGCAGCAGGUUUGUAUAAUUUUUGGUGGUGCCCAGAAUGGGUCCAAGUCCCCACACACACAUCUGCCUAAGGCUCUGGGAGGAAGUUUGGGUUUGGGAGGGGUGCAGGCUCUGGGAUGGAGUUUGG